RNAcentral lists this ribosomal RNA (884 nucleotides) under Streptomyces sp. RK53. RNAcentral describes it as "bacterial SSU rRNA". It matches the Rfam family "Bacterial small subunit ribosomal RNA", at positions 21 to 918 of the family's 1533-position model. Lineage: Bacteria; Bacillati; Actinomycetota; Actinomycetes; Kitasatosporales; Streptomycetaceae. The record is from RNAcentral.
UGCUCAGGACGAACGCUGGCGGCGUGCUUAACACAUGCAAGUCGAACGAUGAACCUCCUUCGGGAGGGGAUUAGUGGCGAACGGGUGAGUAACACGUGGGCAAUCUGCCCUGCACUCUGGGACAAGCCCUGGAAACGGGGUCUAAUACCGGAUAUGAGCCUCCAUCGCAUGGUGGGGGCUGUAAAGCUCCGGCGGUGCAGGAUGAGCCCGCGGCCUAUCAGCUUGUUGGUGAGGUAAUGGCUCACCAAGGCGACGACGGGUAGCCGGCCUGAGAGGGCGACCGGCCACACUGGGACUGAGACACGGCCCAGACUCCUACGGGAGGCAGCAGUGGGGAAUAUUGCACAAUGGGCGCAAGCCUGAUGCAGCGACGCCGCGUGAGGGAUGACGGCCUUCGGGUUGUAAACCUCUUUCAGCAGGGAAGAAGCGAAAGUGACGGUACCUGCAGAAGAAGCGCCGGCUAACUACGUGCCAGCAGCCGCGGUAAUACGUAGGGCGCAAGCGUUGUCCGGAAUUAUUGGGCGUAAAGAGCUCGUAGGCGGCUUGUCGCGUCGGUUGUGAAAGCCCGGGGCUUAACCCCGGGUCUGCAGUCGAUACGGGCAGGCUAGAGUUCGGUAGGGGAGAUCGGAAUUCCUGGUGUAGCGGUGAAAUGCGCAGAUAUCAGGAGGAACACCGGUGGCGAAGGCGGAUCUCUGGGCCGAUACUGACGCUGAGGAGCGAAAGCGUGGGGAGCGAACAGGAUUAGAKACCCUGGUAGUCCACGCCGUAAACGGUGGGCACUAGGUGUGGGCAACAUUCCACGUUGUCCGUGCCGCAGCUAACGCAUUAAGUGCCCCGCCUGGGGAGUACGGCCGCAAGGCUAAAACUCAAAGGAAUUGACGGAA